GGAAUCUUGCGCAAUGGGCGAAAGCCUGACGCAGCGACGCCGCGUGAGGGAUGAAGCUUUUCGGAGCGUAAACCUCUUUCGCCCCGGAAGAAUACCCGCAAGGGUUUGACGGUACGGGGAGAAGAAGCCCCGGCUAACUACGGUCCAGCAGCCGCGGUAAUACGUAGGGGGCCAGCGGUGCUCGGAAUGACUGGGCGUAAAGGGUAUGUAGGCGGUGCGGUAAGUCCGGAGUGAAAUCUCCAGGCUCAACUUGGAGGCUGCUUCGGAAGCUGCCGUGCUCGAGUGUGGGAGAGGCGCGUGGAAUUGCAGGUGUAGCGGUGAAAUGCGUAGAUAUCUGCAGGAACACCAGUGGCGAAAGCGGCGCGCUGGACCACAACUGACGCUGAGAGACGAAAGCUAGGGGAGCAAAC
This 410-nucleotide ribosomal RNA is filed under the name uncultured bacterium. Its description in RNAcentral is "bacterial SSU rRNA". It matches the Rfam family "Bacterial small subunit ribosomal RNA", at positions 358 to 773 of the family's 1533-position model. The record is from RNAcentral.